RNAcentral lists this ribosomal RNA (305 nucleotides) under uncultured Pseudomonas sp. RNAcentral's name for it is "bacterial SSU rRNA". It matches the Rfam family "Bacterial small subunit ribosomal RNA", at positions 1077 to 1382 of the family's 1533-position model. The record is from RNAcentral. Lineage: Bacteria; Pseudomonadati; Pseudomonadota; Gammaproteobacteria; Pseudomonadales; Pseudomonadaceae.
GGGUUAAGUCCCGUAACGAGCGCAACCCUUGUCCUUAGUUACCAGCACGUUAUGGUGGGCACUCUAAGGAGACUGCCGGUGCAAACCGGAGGAAGGUGGGGAUGACGUCAAGUCAUCAUGGCCCUUACGGCCUGGGCUACACACGUGCUACAAUGGUCGGUACAAAGGGUUGCCAAGCCGCGAGGUGGAGCUAAUCCCAUAAAACCGAUCGUAGUCCGGAUCGCAGUCUGCAACUCGACUGCGUGAAGUCGGAAUCGCUAGUAAUCGUGAAUCAGAAUGUCACGGUGAAUACGUUCCCGGGCCUU